This 21-nucleotide non-coding RNA is filed under the name Arabidopsis thaliana (thale cress). The record is from RNAcentral. Lineage: Eukaryota; Viridiplantae; Streptophyta; Magnoliopsida; Brassicales; Brassicaceae.
UCAUGCCUAAGAUUUGAGAUC